RNAcentral lists this transfer RNA (80 nucleotides) under Capronia epimyces CBS 606.96. It matches the Rfam family "tRNA". From Rfam's summary of the family: Transfer RNA (tRNA) molecules are approximately 80 nucleotides in length. Lineage: Eukaryota; Fungi; Ascomycota; Eurotiomycetes; Chaetothyriales; Herpotrichiellaceae. The record is from Rfam by way of RNAcentral.
GCCCGUUUGGCUUAGGGGUAAAGCGUCUCACUCGUAUUGACGAUAUGAGAAGAUCGGAGGUUCGAAUCCUCCAACGGGCA